Molecule: ribosomal RNA, 491 nt
Filed under: uncultured bacterium
Lineage: Bacteria
Description: partial 16S ribosomal RNA
Rfam family: Bacterial small subunit ribosomal RNA
Source: RNAcentral
AAUGAACGUUGGCGGCAUGGAUUAGGCAUGCAAGUCGAGCGAGAAGAGUUUUGAAGCUUGCUUUAGAACUCGGACAGCGGCGAAAGGGAGAGUAACGCGUAGUUAUGUGCCCUAGGGUCCGGAAUAGCCACGGGAAACUGUGGGUAAUGCCGGAUAAUAUCCCCGGAUCAAAGGUGUGAUUCCGCCCUAGGAGCAGACUGCGUCGCUACUAGCUAGUUGGUGGGGUAAUGGCCCACCAAGGCAAUGAUGGGUAGCGGGUGUGAGAGCAUGACCCGUCGCACUGGGACUGAGACACUGCCCAGACACCUACGGGUGGCUGCAGCCGAGAAUCGUCGGCAAUGGGCGAAAGCCUGACCGAGCGAUGCCGCGUGCGGGAUGAAGGCCCUCGGGUUGUAAACCGCUGUCGUAGGGGAGGAAGGUUCCGUGAAGAGCGGGACUUGACCUAUCCUAGGGGGAAGUACGGGCUAAGUUCGUGCCAGCAGCCGCCGUAA